Small nuclear RNA from Neogale vison (American mink), 134 nucleotides. RefSeq annotates it as U4 spliceosomal RNA. The record is from RefSeq and is a predicted model, not a curated record. NCBI's taxonomy places the organism in Eukaryota, Metazoa, Chordata, Mammalia, Carnivora, Mustelidae. The transcript has a single exon.
AAAUUUGCGCAGUGGCAGUAUCGUAGCCAAUGAGGUUUAUCCGAGGCGCGAUUAUUGCUAAUUAAAAUAAAACUAACUUUAUCAGUGUUUUAAAUAAAACAAUAUAAAUACAUAAUAUUAAAUAUGACAUCUUA